This 1177-nucleotide long non-coding RNA is filed under the name Marmota monax (woodchuck). Lineage: Eukaryota; Metazoa; Chordata; Mammalia; Rodentia; Sciuridae. The record is from RNAcentral.
CUGUUGAAGGACAUUGUGUGUAUAUACCAUGUUUUCUUUAUCUAUUCAUCUGUUGAAGGACACCUAGGCUUGUUCCAUAGCUUAGCUAUUGGGAAUUGAGAUUCUAUAAACAUUGAUGUGGCUGUGUCACUGUGGUAUGCUGUUUUUAAGUCCUUUGGGUAUAAAGUGAGGAGUGGGAUAACUGGGUCAAAUGAUGGUUCCAUUCCAAUUUUUCUGAGGAAUCUCCAUCCUGCUUUCUAGAUUGACUGCACCAAUUUGAAGUCCCACCAGCAAUGUAUAUCUUUUCCCUCACAUCCUCACCAACAUUUAUUAUCACUUGCCUUCUUGAUAAUUGCCAUUCUUACUAGAGUGAGGUGAAAUCUCAGGGUGGUUUUAAUUGGAUUUCUCUAAUUGCUAGAGAUGUUGAACUUUUUUUUUCCUUUUUUAUGGUACCAGGGAUUGAACUCACUGGCACUUGACCCCAAGCCACAUCCCCAGCCCUAUUUUGUAUUUUUAUUUAGAAACAGGGUCUCACUGAGUUGCUUAGUGCCUUACUUUUGCUGGGGCUGGCUUUGAACUUGGGAUUCUCCUGCCUCAGCCUCCUGAGCCACUGGGACUACAAGCAUGCACCACCGUGCCUGGCUUGAACAUUUUUUCGUAUAUUUGUUGACCAUCCAUAUUUCUUCUUCUGUAAAGUGCCUCUUCAGUUCCUUUGCCCAUUUAUCAACUGUGUUAUUUGUUGUUGGUUUUCUUGUUUGUUUGUUUGUUUGUGUAGUUGUUUUAGUGUUGUUUGAGUUCUUUAUAUAUCUUGGAGAUUAAUGCUCUAUCUGAGGUGCAGUUGGCAAAGAUUUUCUCCCAUUCUGUGGGCUCUCUCUUCAUGUUCUUUAAUUGUCUCCUUUGCUGUGAAGAAGCUUUUUAGUUUGAUACCAUCCCAUUUAUUGAUUCUUGAUUUUACUUCUUGCACUUUAGAAGUCUUAUUAAGGAAUUUGGUUCCUAAGCCAAAAUGAUGGAGAGUUGGGCCCACUUUUUCUUCUCAUAGGCACAGGGUCUCUGGCCUAAUGCCUACCUCCUUGAUCCACUUUGAGUUACAAUCUUGCAUUUAACACGAAUCUUGACACAUGAUAGAUGUUCAACAAAUCUUUAAAAAAAAAAAGUUUGAUUAAUGAAGUCUCUAUUGCCUCUAUAAAGAAGGAGACUG